Molecule: long non-coding RNA, 215 nt
Filed under: Lathyrus oleraceus (garden pea)
Lineage: Eukaryota; Viridiplantae; Streptophyta; Magnoliopsida; Fabales; Fabaceae
Description: Pisum sativum (pea) long non-coding RNA (PSAT_LNC007741)
Source: RNAcentral
UUUUCGGGUGUUCAACUUAGCGGGCUUUCUUUUCUUUUUAUUUUUUCUUUUUUGGCUUGGAAAGGCUUGUGACUUCCAUUUUAUUGGUUAUUGAAGAACAACCUAUAUAAUUUCAGGUUUUUUCCUGAUUCCUUCGACAUGCAAAAAAUAACAUGUGGUUGAUCCCCAUAUGGGAUGUUAUUCUCUUGCAAUUCGAAUGCGUAGUUAGGUUAACU